UGACGAGGAUGAAGGAUAC
This 19-nucleotide unclassified non-coding RNA is filed under the name Chlamydomonas reinhardtii. RNAcentral's name for it is "small RNA Cre_2877". The record is from RNAcentral. Lineage: Eukaryota; Viridiplantae; Chlorophyta; Chlorophyceae; Chlamydomonadales; Chlamydomonadaceae.